AGGCAGCAGUGAGGAAUAUUGGUCAAUGGCCGGAAGGCUGAACCAGCCAAGCCGCGUGAGGGAGGAAGGCGCAGAGCGUCGCAGACCUCUUUUGCCGGGGGACAAAAGGCCGGACUCGUCCGGUCCUGAGGGUACCCGGAGAAAAAGCAUCGGCUAACUCCGUGCC
RNAcentral lists this ribosomal RNA (166 nucleotides) under uncultured bacterium. RNAcentral describes it as "partial 16S ribosomal RNA". It matches the Rfam family "Bacterial small subunit ribosomal RNA", at positions 346 to 509 of the family's 1533-position model. The record is from RNAcentral.